UACGAAGGGGGCUAGCGUUGCUCGGAAUCACUGGGCGUAAAGGGUGCGUAGGCGGGUCUUUAAGUCAGGGGUGAAAUCCUGGAGCUCAACUCCAGAACUGCCUUUGAUACUGAGGAUCUUGAGUUCGGGAGAGGUGAGUGGAACUGCGAGUGUAGAGGUGAAAUCCGUAGAUAUUCGCAAGAACACCAGUGGCGAAGGCGGCUCACUGGCCCGAUACUGACGCUGAGGCACGAAAGCGUGGGGAGCGAACAGG
RNAcentral lists this ribosomal RNA (253 nucleotides) under uncultured bacterium. RNAcentral describes it as "partial 16S ribosomal RNA". It matches the Rfam family "Bacterial small subunit ribosomal RNA", at positions 524 to 776 of the family's 1533-position model. The record is from RNAcentral.